Molecule: ribosomal RNA, 427 nt
Filed under: uncultured bacterium
Lineage: Bacteria
Description: partial 16S ribosomal RNA
Rfam family: Bacterial small subunit ribosomal RNA
Source: RNAcentral
UGGGGAAUAUUGCACAAUGGGCGCAAGCCUGAUGCAGCCAUGCCGCGUGUAUGAAGAAGGCCUUCGGGUUGUAAAGUACUUUCAGCGGGGAGGAAGGGAGUAAAGUUAAUACCUUUGCUCAUUGACGUUACCCGCAGAAGAAGCACCGGCUAACUCCGUGCCAGCAGCCGCGGUAAUACGGAGGGUGCAAGAGUUAAUCGGAAUUACUGGGCGUAAAGCGCACGCAGGCGGUUUGUUAAGUCAGAUGUGAAAUCCCCGGGCUCAACCUGGGAACUGCAUCUGAUACUGGCAAGCUUGAGUCUCGUAGAGGGGGGUAGAAUUCCAGGUGUAGCGGUGAAAUGCGUAGAGAUCUGGAGGAAUACCGGUGGCGAAGGCGGCCCCCUGGACGAAGACUGACGCUCAGGUGCGAAAGCGUGGGGAGCAAACA